GAUGCCGCGGAAAGAUUCAGACUCCUUUCGUCACUGUUAUCUGUCGUGAUGGGUGUGUGUGGGAGAGGAUGCACAGGAGGUGCUGACAGUCUUGCUGACUGGUGGGGAGAAGAUGUGCUGCCCCUCUGGGACAUGAGGUGCUGCUGGAGACCUCAGGAGACACCAUACACAUGGGUGCCCCAGCCUUGAGCACUGAUGCAGCCACAUAACACAAGUACAGAGGCUGUGCACUGACACCACACCCUGCAUCCCACCACUGAGGAGCUGGGGAAAAAAGGUGGCCGCUAUGAAUGACAGAACUGAAACCAGAGGUCUGUGCUGCAGGAAAGGACUGCCUCUUUAUCUCAGGCUUCAGCAGGGGGUAAGCAACCAGGGUCCUGGUGAUGGCAGAAAUGAACUGAACAGCAGUCUGUGCUGCAGCUAAGGAUGACCAGCGUCAGCAGGGGGUCAGCAGCCUGGAUGCCUAGCCACAAGAGACCUGCUGAGAACACAGCCAGCAGCACUUUAUCUGCUGUUAUUGGCUUUGGAAUGAAAUUAACUUGGAGCUUGGUAAAAGCGGCUAGGUUUAUUGAAUCAGAUUUGCCUUGUCCCUUUUUCUACAAUGUACACUUACAAAAUAAAUCUAACGCAAACUCUC
This is a long non-coding RNA of Micropterus dolomieu (smallmouth bass), 637 nucleotides long. RefSeq lists it as uncharacterized. The transcript has 8 exons. The record is from RefSeq and is a predicted model, not a curated record. Lineage: Eukaryota; Metazoa; Chordata; Actinopteri; Centrarchiformes; Centrarchidae.